GUCCAGCCGAUGAGUCCCAAAUAGGGUGAAACGCGCGUUCUGAAU
RNAcentral lists this non-coding RNA (45 nucleotides) under Schistosoma curassoni. Lineage: Eukaryota; Metazoa; Platyhelminthes; Trematoda; Strigeidida; Schistosomatidae. The record is from RNAcentral.